CGUCUUCAGGGCGGGGUGCAAAUCCCCACCGGCGGUAAAGCCCGCGAGCCGAAAGGUUGAUCCGGUGUGACUCCGGAGCCGACAGUAUAGUCUGGAUGGAAGAAGAUG
This 108-nucleotide non-coding RNA is filed under the name Candidatus Excrementavichristensenella intestinipullorum. RNAcentral's name for it is "FMN riboswitch (RFN element)". It matches the Rfam family "FMN riboswitch aptamer (RFN element)". Rfam says of the family: The RFN element is a highly conserved domain that is found frequently in the 5'-untranslated regions of prokaryotic mRNAs that encode for flavin mononucleotide (FMN) biosynthesis and transport proteins. This element is a metabolite-dependent riboswitch that directly binds FMN in the absence of proteins. In Bacillus subtilis, the riboswitch most likely controls gene expression by causing premature transcription termination within the 5' untranslated region of the ribDEAHT operon and precluding access to the ribosome-binding site of ypaA mRNA. Lineage: Bacteria; Bacillati; Bacillota; Clostridia. The record is from RNAcentral.